GGGCUCAUGGCAUAUCAGCGUUGUCUGUUANCGUUAACGUCGUACCAAGGGCAUCGACCGGGUAGCUGGUCUGAGAGGACGAUCAGUUACACUGGCGCUGAGACACGCGCCAGACUCNUACGUGAGGCAGCAGUGAUGGAAUAUUGCGCAAUGGGCGAAAGCUUGACGCAGCGACGCCGCGUGGGGGAAGAAGGUCUUCGGAUUGUAAACCCCUUUCAGGAGGAAAGAUGGGGUGGGUAACCACUCGGACGGUACCUCCAGAAGAAGCCACGGCUAACUUCGUGCCAGCAGCCGCGGUAAUACGAAGGUGGCGAGCGUUGUUCGGAUUUACUGGGCGUAAAGAGCACGUAGGCGGUUUGGUAAGCCCCUUGGGAAAGCUCCAGGCUUAACCUGGAAAGGUCGAGGGGGACUGCCAGGCUAGAGGACGGGAGAGGAGCGCGGAAUUCCCGGUGUAGCGGUGAAAUGCGUAGAUAUCAGGAGGAAGGCCGGUGGCGAAGGCGGCGCUCUGGAACGUUCCUGACGCUGAGG
This 528-nucleotide ribosomal RNA is filed under the name uncultured bacterium. RNAcentral describes it as "bacterial SSU rRNA". It matches the Rfam family "Bacterial small subunit ribosomal RNA", at positions 227 to 751 of the family's 1533-position model. The record is from RNAcentral.